UUGACCUCGGAUCAGGUAGGGAUACCCGCUGAACUUAAGCAUAUCAAAAAGGCGGAGGA
This 59-nucleotide ribosomal RNA is filed under the name Ectophoma multirostrata. RNAcentral's name for it is "partial 28S ribosomal RNA". The record is from RNAcentral. Lineage: Eukaryota; Fungi; Ascomycota; Dothideomycetes; Pleosporales; Didymellaceae.